This 700-nucleotide ribosomal RNA is filed under the name uncultured bacterium. RNAcentral describes it as "bacterial SSU rRNA". It matches the Rfam family "Bacterial small subunit ribosomal RNA", at positions 8 to 704 of the family's 1533-position model. The record is from RNAcentral.
AGAGUUUGAUCAUGGCUCAGAUUGAACGCUGGCGGAAUGCUUUACACAUGCAAGUCGAGCGGCAGCGCGGGGCAACCUGGCGGCGAGCGGCGAACGGGUGAGUAAUGCAUCGGAACAUGUCCAUGUCGUGGGGGAUAGCCCGGCGAAAGCCGGAUUAAUACCGCAUAAGCCCUGAGGGGGAAAGUGGGGGACCGCAAGGCCUCACGCGAUUGGGUUGGCCGAUGUCCGAUUAGCUAGUUGGCGGGGUAAGAGCCCACCAAGGCGAUGAUCGGUAGCUGGUCUGAGAGGAUGAUCAGCCACACUGGGACUGAGACACGGCCCAGACUCCUACGGGAGGCAGCAGUGGGGAAUUUUGGACAAUGGGGGCAACCCUGAUCCAGCCAUUCCGCGUGAGUGAAGAAGGCCUUCGGGUUGUAAAGCUCUUUUGUCCGGAACGAAACGGUUACGGUGAAUACCCGUGACUACUGACGGUACCGGAAGAAUAAGCACCGGCUAACUACGUGCCAGCAGCCGCGGUAAUACGUAGGGUGCGAGCGUUAAUCGGAAUUACUGGGCGUAAAGCGUGCGCAGGCGGUUUUGUAAGCCAGAUGUGAAAUCCCCGGGCUUAACCUGGGAAUGGCAUUUGGGACUGCAAGGCUGGAGUGCGGCAGAGGAGACUGGAAUUCCUGGUGUAGCAGUGAAAUGCGUAGAUAUCAGGAGG